GUAUAAUAAUAAAAAAAAAAAUAAUGAAGCCAUGCAUCUCUCCAAUUUGCCAGCAAUGUCUGAAAUUUCCGUGCUUAACCUAAUGGGUUAAUUGGAUCACUCUGCCAUCAUUGCUUCCAUUCAAAGGAGUAUUUUGCACAGCAUAAAAACAAAUUAAUUUGUAUCCAAAUAAUUUGACAUAAAUUGUAGGCCUCUCAACCUCAAUUUCCUUCUGGAUAAAACAGGCCUAGAUUCAGUAUCCACAUUUGUUGCAAGAAUAAAAUAAAAAUAUGUUUAUAAAAAAAAAAAAGAAAUGGUUGGACAAACAGCGUUCCAGCUGUUUUCCGCUAAGAGUCUAACACCACUUACGAUCUUCUAAAGUGGGAGGGCCACCACUGCCCCUCCCCCUGCCUAGUGUUGUUCAGAUGACAGUUACAAUAGAAUCAUUCUUCUUUUGCCAGAAGUGCAAAUUGUUUCCCAAAUGUGGCCUUGGGCUUUCAGGAGCCCGGUAGUGACUUCUGUGGUCCCUGAUUUGCACCCUCACCCUGUUAUUGGGGUUGUGCUUCAUUUCUCUCUGUGGAAAGAGUGAAGUAUUGCGAAGUAUGACCCUCGUCACCAAACCAACUCAGAGACAGCAAGUGCUUUGGCAAAGGAAAGGGCUGGCACAGAGAACAGAGUCGAUUUCUCAUUGUCUUCACCAAUCUUCUGAACACGUGAAUACUUUUUGCAUGAUGAUUUGAAGCAGCCAGGAGGCCAAGACAGCGGCCAGGAGAAGCAGCAAGGAAUUGAGCCUUGUACAUUUUUCUCAAAAAAAUAAAAGAUGGGGAACCACCAUGCUCGAGAUAAGAAAUUAGUCUGUGAAGACACCUUCAAGUUCUGCAAAUGGUAGAAAAAAAGUAAAAUGAGACAUAUCUUUCUCAA
Non-coding RNA from Macaca mulatta (Rhesus monkey), 900 nucleotides. NCBI's taxonomy places the organism in Eukaryota, Metazoa, Chordata, Mammalia, Primates, Cercopithecidae. The record is from RefSeq and is a predicted model, not a curated record.